This 1000-nucleotide ribosomal RNA is filed under the name uncultured bacterium. RNAcentral's name for it is "bacterial SSU rRNA". It matches the Rfam family "Bacterial small subunit ribosomal RNA", at positions 353 to 1371 of the family's 1533-position model. The record is from RNAcentral.
AGUGGGGAAUAUUGCACAAUGGAGGACACUCUGAUGCAGCAACGCCGCGUGGAGGAUGACGCAUUUCGGUGUGUAAACUCCUUUUAUAUAGGAAGAUAAUGACGGUACUAUAUGAAUAAGCACCGGCUAACUCCGUGCCAGCAGCCGCGGUAAUACGGAGGGUGCAAGCGUUACUCGGAAUCACUGGGCGUAAAGCGCAUGCAGGCGGUUUAUUAAGUUGGAAGUGAAAUCCUAUGGCUCAACCAUAGAACUGCUUCCAAAACUGAUAAACUAGAGUCUGGGAGGGGAAGAUGGAAUUAGUAGUGUAGGGGUAAAAUCCGUAGAGAUUACUAGGAAUACCAAAAGCGAAGGCGAUCUUCUGGAACAGUACUGACGCUGAGAUGCGAAAGCGUGGGGAGCAAACAGGAUUAGAUACCCUGGUAGUCCACGCAGUAAACGAUGAAUGUUAGUCGUUGGGACUCUAGUAGUUUCAGUGAUGCAGUUAACACAUUAAACAUUCCGCCUGGGGAGUACGGUCGCAAGAUUAAAACUCAAAGGAAUAGACGGGGACCCGCACAAGUGGUGGAGCAUGUGGUUUAAUUCGAAGAUACGCGAAGAACCUUACCUAGCCUUGACAUACUACAGAAUUUGACAGAGAUGUUGAAGUGCCUUCGGGAGCUGUAAUACAGGUGCUGCACGGCUGUCGUCAGCUCGUGUCGUGAGAUGUUGGGUUAAGUCCCGCAACGAGCGCAACCCUCGUCCUUAGUUACUAACGGUUCGGCCGAGGACUCUAAGGAGACUGCCUUCGUAAGGAGGAGGAAGGUGAGGACGACGUCAAGUCAUCAUGGCCCUUACGGCUAGGGCAACACACGUGCUACAAUGGUUAGGACAAUGAGAAGCGAUACCGCGAGGUGGAGCAAAUCUAUAAACCUAAUCUCAGUUCGGAUAGCAGUCUGCAACUCGACUGCUUGAAGCUGGAAUCACUAGUAAUCGUAAAUCAGCUAUGUUACGGUGAAUACGU